AUCGGCGUCGUGUGUACAUCGUGGUUAGAGCAAAAGAGGACGAUGGCGUCACUACAGAGAUUUGCAAUACAGAUCCAAUAAAAAUGAAUGUAUAUUUCUUUAACAAAAAGAAAACGGAUCUACAAGCUAGCCAUUCUUCACGUGUACACAUACGAGCAAGAAUAUCCUACGAGUAGCAACUUCUAAGUGUUUUGCACAUCAGAUUUACACACGGACAAGUGCCAGGAUACAUCAAAUUAAGAUCCACUUAAAACCCAUCAAGAAAGCAACACACACGUUGCUAGCCUGGGCAGCCUAGAUCCACCGGGAAGUAGCAGCGCUGCAACCGAACCAAAUAUGUACAGGGCUCUGGUCGCAGCCAGCAAGCAUACUGGAGGACAGCACCAGUGCGACGAGGACGGGCAUGGCAGCUCGCCGGUGGCGGGGUCAGAAAGCGGAGGCCGGCUUGGGCAGGAGCAAUGAAGCAGCAGGGCCGAGAGUCAUUGCCGAACUUGUUGCUGCGGCGGCACACACCGGCGGAUGGAUCUAGCGCACGUGCGGCUCAACGCGGCCACGCGCACGAAUCCCAUGGGGCGGCGAUGCGGUUGACGCCGGGUGGCGCGAAGCUCCGCAGCCGUCCAUGGCGUCGGCCGCCUGAGAGGGAGAGGGCAAGGGGUGAGGUAUGGGGGAGAGAUAGAGAACGAGGAAGACAGGCAGGAGGAAGGAGAAGGAGGUAGGGGCGGCGGAGCUUGACCUGGUGCUCGUCAGCGGCUUGGGGAACGGCGGUAGGUGGAGGUGGAUCUUGGCUGGGAACAAGGAGAGGCGUGGGGGACGGGAUAGAGAGAAGAGGAUAAGGGAGAGAGAGAGAGAAGAGGAUAAGAGGUGGAGGUGGA
This 872-nucleotide long non-coding RNA is filed under the name Triticum aestivum (bread wheat). RNAcentral describes it as "long non-coding RNA (TAES_LNC000766)". The record is from RNAcentral. Lineage: Eukaryota; Viridiplantae; Streptophyta; Magnoliopsida; Poales; Poaceae.